GGGUUUUCUUGCUUCCUUUUGAAAUAAGCCUGAGCUACAAACUUCAGAUUAUGAAUUCUCCAGCUGCUCAGAUUUGAAGGAAAGGAGAGUAGAAGACAUGGCUUACAGAGAUACUCCAAAGCAUUCUAUAUAGUCACCACCAUGAGGACCUACUUCUGGUGCCAAGCUCGGUGAGGACAUCACUCCUCUGAAAAGUAAGACAAGUAGCCUGCGAGGAAUGCCAUAAGCUUUUUUGCUUGGGCAAAUGUAUGGUACAGUGGCAGCCUGUGGAGAGGACACUGAUGAGGGCCAGUAUGAGGAGGGAGCAGGAACCAUGCAAGUCUGGAUGUCUCAGAAGAUCCAGAGGAUGAAAUACAUGUGAUUCUGCAUCCUUACCUGGUGAGAAGAUUGAAGAAGCCCCCCACAAUGAACAACCCCAAGCCAUGGCAGGAACCAGAAUGUGAAGCUGAAUUUUGGGUUCCUGAGACUGAAACCAUUUAACCAAAAGGGCAGAAGCAGCAUCUAGAGACAGCAGAGGUAGAUGGGGAAGGACCAUGGAGGAGCUGCUCAUAGGGAUGGACAGGAAAUAACAGGAGCAAUUUGAAUUCCUCUGAACAUGGGAGGAAAGAUCUCUUCAACAUGAACUGGUUCAUGGACAUGGAGGCAUGCCAAAGGGAAUGGGAGCAUUCCCUAAUGGAGAGGCUCAUUGAACUGGUGGUCAAAAGAGUGCAGUGUCUACCUGCUGCUGAAACAACAGAACUAGCUCAUCAGCCACCACUACCACCUUCUCCAGCCCAGGGUUGCAGUGACACCCUUCGCCACUUCUGACUUACCAGGAGGAGAACACUGAGUCUCCAAAAAUACUGGAACACUGUUAUGU
This is a long non-coding RNA of Mauremys reevesii (Reeves's turtle), 859 nucleotides long. RefSeq lists it as uncharacterized. NCBI's taxonomy places the organism in Eukaryota, Metazoa, Chordata, Testudines, Geoemydidae. The transcript is spliced from 5 exons. The record is from RefSeq and is a predicted model, not a curated record.